Molecule: ribosomal RNA, 468 nt
Filed under: uncultured bacterium
Lineage: Bacteria
Description: partial 16S ribosomal RNA
Rfam family: Bacterial small subunit ribosomal RNA
Source: RNAcentral
GACGAACGCUGGCGGCGUGCUUAACACAUGCAAGUCGAACGGAAAGGCCCUGCUUUUGUGGGGUGCUCGAGUGGCGAACGGGCGAGUAACACGUGAGUAACCUGCCCUUGACUUUGGGAUAACUUCAGGAAACUGGGGCUAAUACCGGAUAGGAGCUCCUGCUGCAUGGUGGGGGUUGGAAAGUUUCGGCGGUUGGGGAUGGACUCGCGGCUUAUCAGCUUGUUGGUGGGGUAGUGGCUUACCAAGGCUUUGACGGGUAGCCGGCCUGAGAGGGUGACCGGCCACAUUGGGACUGAGAUACGGCCCAGACUCCUACGGGAGGCAGCAGUGGGGAAUAUUGCACAAUGGGCGGAAGCCUGAUGCAGCAACGCCGCGUGCGGGAUGACGGCCUUCGGGUUGUAAACCGCUUUCGCCUGUGACGAAGCGUAAGUGACGGUAAUGGGUAAAGAAGCACCGGCUAACUACGUG